UACGGGGGGGGCAAGCGUUGUUCGGAAUUACUGGGCGUAAAGGGCUCGUAGGCGGCCAACUAAGUCGGAUGUGAAAUCCCCAGGCUUAACCUGGGAACUGCAUCCGAUACUGGAUGGCUUGAAUCCGGGAGAGGGAUGCGGAAUUCCAGGUGUAGCGGUGAAAUGCGUAGAUAUCUGGAGGAACACCGGUGGCGAAGGCGGCAUCCUGGACCGGCAUUGACGCUGAGACGCGAAAGCGUGGGGAGCAAACAGG
Molecule: ribosomal RNA, 253 nt
Filed under: uncultured bacterium
Lineage: Bacteria
Description: partial 16S ribosomal RNA
Rfam family: Bacterial small subunit ribosomal RNA
Source: RNAcentral